Molecule: ribosomal RNA, 491 nt
Filed under: uncultured bacterium
Lineage: Bacteria
Description: partial 16S ribosomal RNA
Rfam family: Bacterial small subunit ribosomal RNA
Source: RNAcentral
AGUGAACGCUGGCGGUAGGCCUAACACAUGCAAGUCGAACGGCAGCACAGUAAGAGCUUGCUCUUACGGGUGGCGAGUGGCGGACGGGUGAGGAAUACAUCGGAAUCUACUUUUUCGUGGGGGAUAACGUAGGGAAACUUACGCUAAUACCGCAUACGACCUACGGGUGAAAGCAGGGGAUCUUCGGACCUUGCGCGAUUGAAUGAGCCGAUGUCGGAUUAGCUAGUUGGCGGGGUAAAGGCCCACCAAGGCGACGAUCCGUAGCUGGUCUGAGAGGAUGAUCAGCCACACUGGAACUGAGACACGGUCCAGACUCCUACGGGAGGCAGCAGUGGGGAAUAUUGACAAUGGGCGCAAGCCUGAUCCAGCCAUACCGCGUGGGUGAAGAAGGCCUUCGGGUUGUAAAGCCCUUUUGUUGGGAAAGAAAAGCAGCAGGUUAAUACCCCGCUGUUCUGACGGUACCCAAAGAAUAAGCACCGGCUAACUUCGCG